AGGACGAACGCUGGCGGCGUGCUUAACACAUGCAAGUCGAACGAGGUGCUUGCACCUAGUGGCGAACGGGUGAGUAACACGUGAGCAACCUGCCCUUGGCUCUGGGAUAGCCUCCGGAAACGGGGAUUAAUACCGGACAUGACCUUCUUCCGCAUGGUGGAGGGUGGAAAGUUUUUCGGCCAGGGAGGGCUCGCGGCCUAUCAGCUUGUUGGAGGGGUAACGGCCCACCAAGGCGACGACGGGUAGCCGGCCUGAGAGGGCGACCGGCCACACUGGGACUGAGACACGGCCCAGACUCCUACGGGAGGCAGCAGUGGGGAAUAUUGCACAAUGGGGGAAACCCUGAUGCAGCGACGCCGCGUGCGGGAUGAAGGCCUUCGGGUUGUAAACCGCUUUCACCAGGGACGAAGCGAGAGUGACGGUACCUGGGGAAGAAGCGCCGGCUAACUACGUGCCAGCAGCCGC
Molecule: ribosomal RNA, 465 nt
Filed under: uncultured bacterium
Lineage: Bacteria
Description: SSU rRNA
Rfam family: Bacterial small subunit ribosomal RNA
Source: RNAcentral